AGAGUUUGAUCCUGGCUCAAAAUCAACGCUGGCGGCGUGCCUCAGACAUGCAAGUCGAACGCGAAAGUUCCCUUCGGGGGACCGGUAGAGCGGCGCACGGGUGAGUAACACGUGGGUAAUUUACCUUCGGGUGGGGAAUAACAGUCGGAAACGACUGCUAAUACCGCAUAAUGCAGCGGCACCACAUGAUGACAGUUGUUAAAGCGGGGGAUCGCAAGACCUCGCGCCUGAAAAGAAGCCCGCGGCGGAUUAGCUAGUUGGUGAGGUAAUGGCUCACCAAGGCGUCGAUCCGUAGCCGGCCUGAGAGGGCGGUCGGCCACACUGACACUGAAUAACGGGUCAUACUCCUACGGGAGGCAGCAGUCGGUUUUUUUGGGCAAUGGGCGCAAGCCUGACCCAGCAACGCCGCGUGAAGGAUGAAAUCUUUCGGGAUGUAAACUUCACAAUAACGGGAAGAAUAAGUAAGGCUUAAUACUCCUUACGAUGACGGUACUGUUUGUAAGCUCCGGCUAACUCCGUGCCAGCAGCCGCGGUAGUACGGGGGGAGCAAGCGUUGUUCAUAUUUACUGGGCGUAAAGGGCGCGUAGGCGGCGCAACAAGUCUCUUGUGAUAUCUUCAGGCUUAACCUGAAGCGGCCAAGUGAUACUGUCGU
This 652-nucleotide ribosomal RNA is filed under the name uncultured bacterium. RNAcentral describes it as "bacterial SSU rRNA". It matches the Rfam family "Bacterial small subunit ribosomal RNA", at positions 8 to 639 of the family's 1533-position model. The record is from RNAcentral.